Molecule: transfer RNA, 74 nt
Filed under: Eubacterium sp.
Lineage: Bacteria; Bacillati; Bacillota; Clostridia; Eubacteriales; Eubacteriaceae
Also listed under: 1 other name
Description: tRNA-Ile
Rfam family: tRNA
About the family: Transfer RNA (tRNA) molecules are approximately 80 nucleotides in length. Their secondary structure includes four short double-helical elements and three loops (D, anti-codon, and T loops). Further hydrogen bonds mediate the characteristic L-shaped molecular structure. tRNAs have two regions of fundamental functional importance: the anti-codon, which is responsible for specific mRNA codon recognition, and the 3' end, to which the tRNAs corresponding amino acid is attached (by aminoacyl-tRNA synthetases). tRNAs cope with the degeneracy of the genetic code in two manners: having more than one tRNA (with a specific anti-codon) for a particular amino acid; and 'wobble' base-pairing, i.e. permitting non-standard base-pairing at the 3rd anti-codon position.
Source: RNAcentral
GGACGCUUAGCUCAGUUGGUUAGAGCAAUCGGCUCAUAACCGAUCGGUCCUGGGUUCGAGUCCCCGAGCGUCCA